AGUCCGCUGCGCGCCGCGCCGGGGCCGCCGCGCUCGCCGCCUCCAGCAUGCUCCAAAGAUGGCGGUAGCGGCGGCGGCGGGCGGCGGCGGGCGGGCGCAGCGCAGCGGCUGGCUGGAAGUUUUGGUGCGGGAGCGCUGGCACAAAGUGCUGGCCAACUUGGGCGGCGAGGCGCUGGUGCUGAGCGGCGAGGAGCGCCCCGACGGCGCGGCGCACAACGGCCUGGGCGGCGAUGGGGCGGCGGCGAGCCGCGGGGCCGAGGGCGGCGGCGCCUCGGUGCGCACCGCCUUCACCGACCCCCCCGAGCAGGUGCCCGAGGCCGUCUCCAACAAGAAGCGGUGCGUGAAGGUGCUGAAGCAGGAGCUGGGCGGGCUGGGCAUCAGCAUCAAGGGGGGCAAGGAGAACAAGAUGCCCAUCCUCAUCAGCAAGAUCUUCAAGGGGCUGGCGGCCGACCAGACCCAGGCCCUCUACGUGGGGGAUGCCAUCCUGGCCGUCAACGGCACCGACCUGCGCGAUGCCACCCACGACGAGGCGGUGCAGGCGCUCAAGCGGGCCGGCAAGGAGGUGCUGCUGGAAGUGAAAUAUAUGAGAGAAGCAACACCCUAUGUGAAGAAGGGUUCCCCUGUUUCAGAAAUUGGAUGGGAAACACCUCCCCCCGAAUCUCCUCGACUGGGCUGUGCAUCUUCUGACCCUCUGUCGCAGCUCUCUCUCUCCAUCCACAGAGACAGAAAAACAAUCCCACUCAAGAUGUGCUACGUGACACGCAACAUGACGCUGUCAGACCCUGAGAACAGACUUAUUGAAGUUCAUUCACCUGAUGCCAAGCACACCGUGAUUCUAAGGAGUAAGGAUUCGGCUACAGCCCAGGCCUGGUUCAAUGCCAUCCACUCCAGUGUCAAUGAUCUCAUCCCCAGGGUGAUUGCAGAGGUCAGAGACCAGCUGGGUAAAACAGGGAUUGCUGGAAGUCGAGAGAUUAGGCAUCUAGGCUGGCUUGCAGAAAAGGUGCCAGGAGACAACGAGAAGCACUGGAAGCCAGUGCUAGUUGUCUUGACUGAGAAAGACCUUUUAAUAUAUGAGAGCAUGCCGCGAAUGAAGGAAGCUUGGUUCAACCCUCUGCACACCUACCCCUUGCUAGCAACCAGGUUGGUCCAUUCUGGCCCAGGAAAAGGCUCGCCGCAGUCCGGGGUGGAUUUGUCUUUUGCAACUCGUACUGGUACAAGGCAAGGGAUUGAAACCCACCUUUUCCGGACAGAGACUAGCAGAGACCUCUCCCUGUGGACAAGGAGUGUUGUACAGGGCUGUCACAAUUCUGCAGAGCUCAUCACAGAAAUCACAACAUCUUGCACAUAUAAAAGCCAGGAGUGCCGUUUGACCAUCCAUUAUGAACACGGAUUCUCUCUUACAACUGAACCACAAGAUGGUGCCUUCUCUAAGACAAUUGCACAAUACCCCUACGAAAAACUAAAAAUGUCCUCAGAUGAUGGGAUUAGGAUGCUUUAUUUAGAUUUUGGAGGAAAGGAUGGAGAAAUUCAACUGGAUCUUCAUUCCUGCCCAAAGCCAAUUGUGUUCAUCAUUCAUUCCUUCCUGUCAGCUAAGAUUACAAGACUUGGUUUGGUGGCAUAAGUGGGAUACACCUGUUUCCUCUAAGAAAAAUGGAGCAACCAUGCUAAUCGGAAGUACAGUCACCAUGAGAAACCUGUAACAGCCAGCAGCAUGCACAAGACUGGAGUUCAGUACUGGGCUGUGGUAAUUCCUGGCAAUCUUCCAAGGCCCAGCUUUCAUUUUGAUCAGCUAAAGAGAUGAUGUCAAAAGGAAAACAAUGAAUUUCAUUGUAAAUAACAGGAUUUUUAAAUCACAUACUGGACAGCAGACGAGUGUAGUACUUACUGUAUGUGUAAAAGUUUCAGAAUCAUAAAUUGUGCCUAUUUCAAUGUAUUUGUUUAUAUAGAAUAAGUAAAGGGCUAAGAAGAUAUGAGUGGGCACUUGAUUGUAAUGCAAGAUCAAGGUUGCUUGAGAAGUUCUGUAAACAAGGUUGUCCCACCACCAAAAACUCAUGUAUAUUUUUCUGCUCUAACCUGUGCAUCAUUUAAUUUAAUUUUUUUUUUUUUUUGGGGGGGGGAGCUAUCAGAACCUGUUGCUUGAAUACCCAGCAGAGCAUGCAAAUAUGCAUCUUUGAAUAGGAUGCUCUAAAGCAAUACAGACGCGGUCAGUGAAGAGCUGUGGCAGGGGGGCCCUGCUGAGGGGCACAGCGCUCUCAAAUUAAAUGAUAGGAUAUCUUGGGCACAUUCCUGGAGAUGGACCCAAAACAAAAGGUGUAGGAAUGUAGCGAGAGCGCGUCUGUCACUGAGAACGGAGCCCCACAGGAUAGGGUAGGUGCAGCUUUCAUUAAUGAGCACACAGGACAUAUUUUUCGUAGUCCCUUUCCAGAAGGGUUCAGAUGACUUUGAGCGUCAGCUACCCAGGAUCGCAGGCUCAGUUAAAAGUUAGCUGAAUCAUUUUGCAAUGUGACUUAAGCUUCUAACAGCACAUUUCCACUUCAGUAUUUUCCAAGAGAAAGUCAGGCUAAGAGCUUCCCGUCCUCCUGCCCUCACCCCGCUCCAUCAGCUCUGCUGAGACUGCUUGCAGAUUUAACUGUUAAUCAAACGAUCUUGACUGAAGAACAAAUAUGGGGAAUGAGUAAGACUUGGUUUUUUAAAGUGUUCUAAAUUAAAACAGAGAAGUUACUCGAGCAGCUCCACAACACUGAGGAAAUGCACAGGGGCAGGUACACGAGCUUUACUGCCAGAAAAGCCUUAAUAUGAAACUGUGCCUGCAGUGACUUGGAGCUUAGACCUUUUUCCUGCUGCUAAAUCAGCUACAUUAAGGAACUCUUUAAAAAAGAUUUUUUUUUUUUUUUUAACGCUUAAGUUAAUUUUAAGUGCAUUUGGGUGUGACUCUAGAUGCAUUCCUUGCUGGUAAAAUUUAUUUAAGCUGUUGAUCCAUGUACCCAUAACUUACUAUUUCCUAUUUUGUCCCACGCUGUACUGUUUUGAGUCAAUACAUAGGAAUCACUAAGUCAGCCUGGUUCACGGUUACAGUGGGGACAAAGGGAGCAGCAAGGCAGGAACGCUGGAAACUGCCCUCACCAUCGAAGACGAUGGACACAAGCUGCAUCUGGAAAUACUAAAUUAACCUAAUGUGGUUGGGUAGGAAGAAAGAGGACUAGAAUAUGGAUUGCAUUGAUAUUGCUCUUAAGUUGUACACAGAACUGCUUCAUGUGUGUUGUGGUUUUGUUUUGUUUGCUUUUAAAGUUUUGCCCUAAGUUCAUGCUUGGAAGGACAGGAACCGUAUAGGAAGUAAUAAAUCAGAAGCUCCUAGAAGUUCACUUCUAACAGUACAGAGCUUUCAUACUUGAGAAAGCCACUAAGUUUCAAGUUAAUGAUGUCACUUGGCUGGCAAAGAAAAUUAAAGCCAUAGUAUGGUUCCAUGUUGUUUUUAAGCUGAGUCUUGAAAGUUAAUAGUAAGUAAGUCAUACUGUUUAUUCACAUUGUAGGAAUUAAUUUCUGGUGUCGUAGGUAUCUUAAUCAUUAAAAAUAAUUACAAAUUUAAGAUGAUAGGCUGAAUUGACAAAGACUGCAAAUAGUCAUUUUGGGACAGUAGCUAAAUUGACAUUUGGAGUAGCAGCCCCACUCCCAACACCUCCCUCCAGUCGGAGAAAGGAGUCAGCAAGGUGAUUUAUGGAUCUGGGAACCUCUGGUUUUUACUGUCAUGGUACUUGCAGUUAAACUUUUUAAUUCCUUGUGUAAAUGCACAAGUUAGGAGGUAUGUUACAUAGCUUACCAAGAGCUUCCCAAAUGUACAUUUUGCCUGUCGCUCUCCCUGCCCCUCACCUUGCCUUCCGUAGCAACUGUCCGGGCGCCCGUUGCUCCAGGAGCUUUUCGGCUAAGAAGCCGCGCGUGGUCGUACGCCGUGGGAGCAGGUCUUUGAGCCCAGACGCCGAGAUCAUCCUGCGAAGCGCUGGGUGCCGCUCGGAAGAAGCGCGUUUCAGGGCACUGCGUGCAAACUUGUGUUAUCGAUGCUCCAAAGUAUAACUUAAAAAUGUGGACCCAGAUUCGUGCAAGUGUUCCAGAAGUCAAAGUGCGAACUUACGUACUGUGGGAUUUUGGAUUGAUUCAUAUUUGGAUGGGAUAGACACAUGAAAUAUGGACCUACUCCACAUUUAUAAGAGUAUAGUGAAUAUUUAUAUUUUAGAGGAAAAGAAUAUAUUUAAUAAAAAGUCAUUUAUUGGAGUUUUGUGAGGUAAGCUUACUUUCUACCCAAACAAGUUGUUUUGGGGCUGGGGAAAAUACAUUUUAAACAUUGAUCAUUCCAUCUGAAUUCAACUACUUAAUUAUCUGGUUUAUCGUAUCAACGAGGUGACUUUUUAAAAAUCAGUUUUAAAAAAACAAAGUAUUAAUAUACUUUCAACGUUGCCUUGGUGCUUUUUAUUAAGCUCGGCGUCGGUAGGAUAGUGGCGCUUUUGGUGACAGUCUCAAAGCACACGUGAGCAGCAUCGGUUUUGCUGCGGGCGUUUAGUGAAGGCCGAGCGGUCGUUCUGGGCAAGGGCGCUCAGCCCCAGCUGCCGAGGUUACGGACCUUCCCCGGUGCGGGUACUUACAGGGUGGUUACAGCAUGCGCAGAAGAAACAGAAACUUCUGCUCAAGCCUCGGCGUUCAAGGAGCACGCGUACGCCUCGCUGCUUCUCCUAGACAUCCAUGGAAGAAAAAGCCUCGCUGCCUCAAUCCCUGCUGCGGUGCCCCAAACGGAAAGGUUAACCGCGGGCCUGCGAGCCUCUUCGUUCGCUCCUACCCGAGCUAUAGCAGACCACGGAAAUCCUACCCAGGGGUAAUUUUAGAGUUUCGCUCUUUUCACGAGGUGCUGCCUGUAAACUGAAUAUUCUGAUCAGAAAGUCCAUAUCGAAGCCUCACCUUUCGAAAGAUUUGGGUACGUAUGGGAACAUACAUGUUACUGGAAAUGUGUGCUAUGAGUUGUUUGUUAAAACAUAAAACAAAGCUGGUCUGAUGUGUUCAGGGAAGCAUACCGGUGUUUUGUAAGAGUCCACGCUUUAAGAAUUACAGUAUGUAUGUAUUAAAAACAAAAAAACAAAAACCA
This is an RNA transcript of Rhea pennata, 5128 nucleotides long. It is a transcript of the gene named syntrophin beta 1, with no coding region annotated. The record is from RefSeq and is a predicted model, not a curated record. Lineage: Eukaryota; Metazoa; Chordata; Aves; Rheiformes; Rheidae. The transcript is spliced from 8 exons.